This 487-nucleotide long non-coding RNA is filed under the name Monodelphis domestica (gray short-tailed opossum). RNAcentral describes it as "lncRNA (ENSMODG00000038755.1)". Lineage: Eukaryota; Metazoa; Chordata; Mammalia; Didelphimorphia; Didelphidae. The record is from RNAcentral.
CUCCAUUGCGUUUUAGUCUCGUACACUAUCUUCAGGAAUUUUUCAAAGACUUUGACAAAUUUGACACCUUUGCAUUGUCCUAGAGGGUCAGAAACCAAUCUAGAACUAUUUGAGUACGAGAAGGGAAAAUGAAAGAAGGCACUCCCUCCCCUCUCCAGCAGAGCUACACAAUGGAAAGGGAGAGGUCUGACCAAGGUCCAAAGCUGAGAGGAUUCAGCUGCCUUCUCACCAAGAAGUUCCUUUACCCUGUGUGUGUCUUCAUACUGGACCAUCCCUCUGUCCUAACAGCCUCAUUUUUCUAUUGGUGAGGUCAUUUUAGAGAUGAGGAACUGAGGCAAACAGGGAUAAAUGACUUACCCAGAGUCAUACAGUGCUAAAACCAGAUUUUUAACUAAGGAAGAUGAGUCUGACUGACUCCAUGCCCCAUGCUCUAUCUACUACACCAUCCAGCUGCCCUGUCUGACACAUUGUAAGUGCUUAAUAAAUG